GAUGAACGCUGGCGGCGUGCUUAACACAUGCAAGUCGAGCGAACAGACGAGGAGCUUGCUCUUCUGACGUUAGCGGCGGACGGGUGAGUAACACGUGGAUAACCUACCUAUAUGACUGGGAUAACUUCGGGAAACCGGAGCUACUACCGGAUAAUCUAUUGAACCGCAUGGUUCAAUAGUGAAAGACGGUUUUGCUGUCACUUAUAGAUUGAUCCGCGCCGCAUUAGCUAGUUGGUUAGGUAACGGCUUACCAAGGCAACGAUGCGUAGCCGACCUGAGAGGGGGAUCGCCCACACUGGAACUGAGACACGAUCCAGACUCCGAGGGGAGGCAGCGGUAGGGAAUCUUCGGCAAUGGGGGAAAGCCUGACGGAGCAACGCCGCGUGGAUGAUGAAGGUCUUCGGAUCGUAAGACUCUGUUAUUGGGGAAAAACGAAUGUGUAAGUAACGAUGCACGUCUUGACGGUACCGGAUCAGAAAGCCACGGCUAACUACGUG
This 497-nucleotide ribosomal RNA is filed under the name uncultured bacterium. Its description in RNAcentral is "partial 16S ribosomal RNA". It matches the Rfam family "Bacterial small subunit ribosomal RNA", at positions 28 to 507 of the family's 1533-position model. The record is from RNAcentral.